Molecule: long non-coding RNA, 211 nt
Filed under: Mytilus galloprovincialis (Mediterranean mussel)
Lineage: Eukaryota; Metazoa; Mollusca; Bivalvia; Mytilida; Mytilidae
Source: RNAcentral
UUUUACUGUGCCUAUCCAAUAAGCUUUGUGGUUGUGAAUUACCUAUUGCCUGACCAGUUUAAAAAAUUGUCAAUACAAUUUGUCCAUUUAAAUUGUACAACAGGUAUUGUGAGAGCUAUUAUCAACAGGUGGUCAUUUAACUACCUGUAGAUUUACCUGAUUUGUUUUUGACAGAGCUAAUUUAAAUGAAUGAUACAUGUAGCUUGCUUGC